This 427-nucleotide ribosomal RNA is filed under the name uncultured bacterium. RNAcentral describes it as "partial 16S ribosomal RNA". It matches the Rfam family "Bacterial small subunit ribosomal RNA", at positions 355 to 774 of the family's 1533-position model. The record is from RNAcentral.
UGGGGAAUAUUGGACAAUGGGCGAAAGCCUGAUCCAGCCAUGCCGCGUGUGUGAAGAAGGUCUUCGGAUUGUAAAGCACUUUAAGUUGGGAGGAAGGGCAUUAACCUAAUACGUUAGUGUUUUGACGUUACCGACAGAAUAAGCACCGGCUAACUCUGUGCCAGCAGCCGCGGUAAUACAGAGGGUGCAAGCGUUAAUCGGAAUUACUGGGCGUAGAGCGCGCGUAGGUGGUUUGUUAAGUUGGAUGUGAAAUCACCGGGCUCAACCUGGGAACUGCAUUCAAAACUGACUGACUAGAGUAUGGUAGAGGGUGGUGGAAUUUCCUGUGUAGCGGUGAAAUGCGUAGAUAUAGGAAGGAACACCAGUGGCGAAGGCGACCACCUGGACUAAUACUGACACUGAGGUGCGAAAGCGUGGGGAGCAAACA